CAGAAGAUGGUUUAAGUUAAAAUGCCAGUUUUGGGGGCUGGAGAUGGGGGCUAGUGUUCCUCUCUUUUGA
RNAcentral lists this transfer RNA (70 nucleotides) under Cyclura pinguis. Its description in RNAcentral is "tRNA-Pro". It matches the Rfam family "tRNA". Rfam says of the family: Transfer RNA (tRNA) molecules are approximately 80 nucleotides in length. Their secondary structure includes four short double-helical elements and three loops (D, anti-codon, and T loops). Lineage: Eukaryota; Metazoa; Chordata; Lepidosauria; Squamata; Iguanidae. The record is from RNAcentral.